Telopea speciosissima is the source of this 277-nucleotide long non-coding RNA. RefSeq lists it as uncharacterized. The record is from RefSeq and is a predicted model, not a curated record. Lineage: Eukaryota; Viridiplantae; Streptophyta; Magnoliopsida; Proteales; Proteaceae. The transcript is spliced from 2 exons.
CUAGGAAGAUUUGUUUCUGUUACUGAAAUUACUCUUCUUGUUGGCACAAGCAGAGUCUCUCGCAUACAACAUACAACCCAGAGUGUCUAAAGGACUGUGUUUAGAAACAGUAUCGAGAUUUUCUGGGUCAUUUUCAACACUGCCAGUUGUCUUAGUUGGGGUCCUAGGAGUUGGAUUGCAACAAAUAUCUCAUGCAAAUGCCAAUACAGCUGAUCCUCAGGUUCCUUUGCCGUCAAAAUCUCCAUCAAGCUACACUGAUUUGGGAAAAAUUGAUGAG